AUGAACAGCCAUUUGGAGAUUCUGGAAUUGAUGGUUCAGGUUUCUAAAAUCAUGUUUUUAAAUUUUACAAACUCAGAACAAGAAAACUCGUGGUGGCUGGCAAGAUGGCCGAAUAGGAACAGCUCCAGUCUGCAGCCCCCAGUGAGAUCAGCAGAGAAGGUGGGGGUGAUUCCUGCAUUUCCAACUGAGGUAUGGGGCUCAUCUCAUUGGGACGGGUUAGACAGUGGGUGCAGCCCACAGAGGGUGAGGUGAAGCAGGGUGGGGGCAUCGCCUCACCCAGGAAGCUCAAGGGGUUGGGGAACUACCUCCCCUAGCCAAGGGAAGCUGUGAGGGACUGUGCCGUGAGGAAUGGUGCACUCCAGCCCAGAUAUUACACUUUUCCCAUGGUCUUCACAACUCACAGACCAGGAGAUUCCCUUGGAUGCUUACACCACCAGGGCCCUGGGUUUCAAGCAAAAACUGGGUGGCUGUUUGGGCAGACACUGAGCUAGCUGCAGGAGUUUUUUUUCAUACCCCAGUGGUGCCUGGAACGCCAGCAAGACAGAACCAAUCACUCCCCUGGAAACAGGGCUGAAGCCAGC
Molecule: long non-coding RNA, 581 nt
Organism: Pan paniscus (pygmy chimpanzee)
Lineage: Eukaryota; Metazoa; Chordata; Mammalia; Primates; Hominidae
Source: Ensembl